RNAcentral lists this ribosomal RNA (494 nucleotides) under uncultured bacterium. Its description in RNAcentral is "partial 16S ribosomal RNA". It matches the Rfam family "Bacterial small subunit ribosomal RNA", at positions 30 to 507 of the family's 1533-position model. The record is from RNAcentral.
AUUGAACGCUGGCGGCAUGCUUUACACAUGCAAGUCGAACGGCAGCGGGGAGGAGCUUGCUUCUCUGCCGGCGAGUGGCGAACGGGUGAGUAAUACAUCGGAACGUGUCGAGAAGAGGGGGAUAACCACCCGAAAGGGUGGCUAAUACCGCAUAAAUUCUGAGGAAGAAAGCUGGGGACCUAGGAAUAGGCCUAGCGCUUUUUGAGCGGCCGAUGUCGGAUUAGCUAGUUGAUGAGGUAAAGGCUCACCAAGGCGAAGAUCUGUAGCGGGUCUGAGAGGAUGAUCCGCCACACUGGGACUGAGACACGGCCCAGACUCCUACGGGAGGCAGCAGUGGGGAAUUUUGGACAAUGGGGGCAACCCUGAUCCAGCCAUGCCGCGUGUAUGAAGAAGGCCUUAGGGUUGUAAAGUACUUUUGUUAGGGAAGAAAAGUCAGCUGUGAAUAAUGGCUGAUACUGACGGUACCUAAAGAAUAAGCACCGGCUAACUACGUG